GAUGAACGCUGGCGGCGUGCUUAACACAUGCAAGUCGAACGGAAAGGCCCUGCUUUUGUGGGGUUCUCGAGUGGCGAACGGGUGAGGAACACGUGAGUAACCUGCUCUUGACUUUGGGAUAACUUCAGGUAGCUGGGGCUAAUACCGGAUAGGAGCUCCCGUUGCAUUGUGGGGGUUGGAAAGUCUAGGCGGUUGGGGAUGGACGCGCGGCUUAUGAGCUUGUUGGUGGGGUAGUGGCUUACCCAGGCUUUGGCGGGUAACCGGCCUGAGAGGGUGACCGGCCACCUUGGGACUGAGGUACGGACCAGACUCCUACGGGAGGCAGCAGUGGGGAGUAUUGCACAGUGGGCGGGCGCCUGAUGCAACGACGCCGCGUGCGGGAUGACGGCCUUCGGGUUGUGAACCGCUUUCGCCUAUGACGAAGCGUGAGUGACGGUAAUGGGUGAAGAAGCACCGGCUAACUACGUG
RNAcentral lists this ribosomal RNA (468 nucleotides) under uncultured bacterium. Its description in RNAcentral is "partial 16S ribosomal RNA". It matches the Rfam family "Bacterial small subunit ribosomal RNA", at positions 28 to 507 of the family's 1533-position model. The record is from RNAcentral.